UACGUAGGUGGCAAGCGUUGUCCGGAUUUAUUGGGCGUAAAGCGAGCGCAGGCGGUUCCUUAAGUUUGAUGUGAAAGCCCCCGGCUCAACCGGGGAGGGUCAUUGGAAACUGGGGAACUUGAGUGGAGAAGGGGAGAGUGGAAUUCCAUGUGGAGCGGUGAAAUGCGUAGAUAUAUGGAGGAACACCAGUGGCGAAGGCGACGCUCUGGUCUGUAACUGACGCUGAGGCUCGAAAGCGUGGGUAGCAAACAGG
Molecule: ribosomal RNA, 253 nt
Filed under: uncultured bacterium
Lineage: Bacteria
Description: partial 16S ribosomal RNA
Rfam family: Bacterial small subunit ribosomal RNA
Source: RNAcentral